GACGAACGCUGGCGGCGCGCCUACACAUGCAAGUUGACGAGCGAGAGAGAGCUUGCUUUCUCGAGCGAGUGGCGAACGGGUGAGUAACGCGUGAGGAACCUGCCUCAAAGAGGGGGACAACAGUUGGAAACGACUGCUAAUACCGCAUAAGCCCACAGGUCGGCAUCGACCAGAGGGAAAAGGAGCAAUCCGCUUUGAGAUGGCCUCGCGUCCGAUUAGCUGGUUGGUGAGGUAACGGCCCACCAAGGCAACGAUCGGUAGCCGGACUGAGAGGUUGAACGGCCACAUUGGGACUGAGACACGGCCCAG
RNAcentral lists this ribosomal RNA (309 nucleotides) under uncultured bacterium. RNAcentral's name for it is "bacterial SSU rRNA". It matches the Rfam family "Bacterial small subunit ribosomal RNA", at positions 28 to 334 of the family's 1533-position model. The record is from RNAcentral.